UGGCGAACGGGUGAGUAACACGUGGGUAAUCUGCCCUGCACUCUGGGAUAAGCCUGGGAAACUGGUUCUAAUACUGGAUAUGACCUUUCUCCUUAUGGGGUUUGGUGGAAAGUUUUUCGGUGUAGGAUGAGCCCGCGGCCUAUCAGCUUGUUGGUGGGGUGAUGGCCUACCAAGGCGACGACGGGUAGCCGGCCUGAGAGGGUGAUCGGCCACAUUGGGACUGAGAUACGGCCCAG
This 236-nucleotide ribosomal RNA is filed under the name uncultured Actinomycetales bacterium. RNAcentral describes it as "partial 16S ribosomal RNA". It matches the Rfam family "Bacterial small subunit ribosomal RNA", at positions 96 to 334 of the family's 1533-position model. The record is from RNAcentral. Lineage: Bacteria; Bacillati; Actinomycetota; Actinomycetes; Actinomycetales.